Molecule: ribosomal RNA, 473 nt
Filed under: uncultured bacterium
Lineage: Bacteria
Description: bacterial SSU rRNA
Rfam family: Bacterial small subunit ribosomal RNA
Source: RNAcentral
ACUCCUACGGGAGGCAGCAGUGGGGAAUAUUGGACAAUGGGGGCAACCCUGAUCCAGCAAUACCGCGUGUGUGAAGAAGGCCUGAGGGUUGUAAAGCACUUUCAGCGAGGAGGAAGUUAAUAUAGUUAAUAGCUAUGUUGAUUGACGUUACUCGCAGAAGAAGCACCGGCUAACUCUGUGCCAGCAGCCGCGGUAAUACAGAGGGUGCAAGCGUUAAUCGGAAUUACUGGGCGUAAAGCGUGCGUAGGCGGAUAUUUAAGUCAGAUGUGAAAGCCCCGGGCUCAACCUGGGAAUUGCAUCUGAUACUGGGUAUCUAGAGUAUGGUAGAGGAUAGUGGAAUUUCUGGUGUAGCGGUGAAAUGCGUAGAUAUCAGAAGGAACAUCAGUGGCGAAGGCGACUGUCUGGGCCAAUACUGACGCUGAGGUACGAAAGCGUGGGUAGCGAACAGGAUUAGAUACCCUGGUAGCGAGUAG